Molecule: ribosomal RNA, 430 nt
Filed under: Bacteroidota bacterium
Lineage: Bacteria; Pseudomonadati; Bacteroidota
Description: Bacteroidetes bacterium partial 16S ribosomal RNA
Rfam family: Bacterial small subunit ribosomal RNA
Source: RNAcentral
UAGGGAAUCUUCGGCAAUGGGGGGAACCCUGACCGAGCAACGCCGCGUGAGUGAAGAAGGUUUUCGGAUCGUAAAGCUCUGUUGUUAAGGAAGAACGAGUGUGAGAAUGGAAAGUUCAUGCUGUGACGGUACUUAACCAGAAAGGGACGGCUAACUACGUGCCAGCAGCCGCGGUAAUACGUAGGUCCCGAGCGUUGUCCGGAUUUAUUGGGCGUAAAGCGAGCGCAGGCGGUCAAUUAAGUCUGAUGUGAAAGCCCCCGGCUCAACCGGGGAGGGUCAUUGGAAACUGGUUGACUUGAGUGCAGAAGAGGAGAGUGGAAUUCCAUGUGUAACGGUGAAAUGCGUAGAUAUAUGGAGGAACACCAGUGGCGAAGGCGACUCUCUGGUCUGUAACUGACGCUGAGGCUCGAAAGCGUGGGGAGCGAACAGG